UUGAACGCUGGCGGCAUGCUUUACACAUGCAAGUCGAACGGCAGCACGGGGGCAACCCUGGUGGCGAGUGGCGAACGGGUGAGUAAUGCAUCGGAACGUACCCAGUCGUGGGGGAUAACGCAGCGAAAGUUGUGCUAAUACCGCAUACGACCUGAGGGUGAAAGCGGGGGACCGUAAGGCCUCGCGCGAUUGGAGCGGCCGAUGUCUGAUUAGCUAGUUGGUGGGGUAAAGGCCCACCAAGGCGACGAUCAGUAGCGGGUCUGAGAGGAUGAUCCGCCACACUGGGACUGAGACACGGCCCAGACUCCUACGGGAGGCAGCAGUGGGGAAUUUUGGACAAUGGGGGCAACCCUGAUCCAGCCAUUCCGCGUGAGUGAAGAAGGCCUUCGGGUUGUAAAGCUCUUUCAGCCGGAACGAAACGGUACGCUCUAACAUAGCGUGCUAAUGACGGUACCGGCAGAAGAAGCACCGGCUAACUACGU
This 482-nucleotide ribosomal RNA is filed under the name uncultured bacterium. RNAcentral's name for it is "bacterial SSU rRNA". It matches the Rfam family "Bacterial small subunit ribosomal RNA", at positions 29 to 506 of the family's 1533-position model. The record is from RNAcentral.